Cyprinus carpio carpio is the source of this 333-nucleotide long non-coding RNA. NCBI's taxonomy places the organism in Eukaryota, Metazoa, Chordata, Actinopteri, Cypriniformes, Cyprinidae. The record is from Ensembl.
GAAAUGCUGCUGUACAUUUCUGUGAGGUGGCUGAGUUUGGAGAUGUGCAUCACCUGCAUUCUGCAGCGAUGAGAAACAACCAAGGUUCAGAAGGCUGGUUGAGGCGUUUUCCAAUCCCCUGAUGGAAGUCUACCUCCUGUUCCUUCAGGCCACAUUCCCAGUGUUCUCUACACUGAACCUCCUUCUCCAGAGAGAAAAGGCAUCCAUAUUCCAGCUGUAUGAAGAGAUGACGAAAUUCAUCAAGAAACUCUGUUCGAGGUUCAUGACACCAGCAGCACUACGAGGAGGAGAAGUCCAUGACAUCCCCUUCAAGGACCCACUGCACCCACUGCC